This is a long non-coding RNA of Oxyura jamaicensis (ruddy duck), 166 nucleotides long. RefSeq lists it as uncharacterized. The transcript has 3 exons. NCBI's taxonomy places the organism in Eukaryota, Metazoa, Chordata, Aves, Anseriformes, Anatidae. The record is from RefSeq and is a predicted model, not a curated record.
CUGCUUCUUUCAAGUAGGGGAAGGGGAAGCAAGGUCUGGGUAAGAAGUGAUCCCCUUUAAACACAGCUUUAUGUGCUUCUUUUGAGUUGAAACACCCGUGGUACAGCACCAGCAACAAGUGCUGGACAGCAACAUCUACUCUGGCUGUUCCACUGUGAUGUCACUA